RNAcentral lists this ribosomal RNA (253 nucleotides) under uncultured bacterium. Its description in RNAcentral is "partial 16S ribosomal RNA". It matches the Rfam family "Bacterial small subunit ribosomal RNA", at positions 524 to 776 of the family's 1533-position model. The record is from RNAcentral.
UACAGGGGGUGCAAACGUUGCUCGGAAUUAUUGGGCGUAAAGCGCGCGUAGGCGGCUACCUAAGUCGGAUGUGAAAGCCCCUGGCUUAACUGGGGAAGUGCACCCGAAACUGAGUAGCUAGAGUGCGAAAGAGGGUCGCGGAAUUCCCGGUGUAGAGGUGAAAUUCGUAGAUAUCGGGAGGAACACCAGAGGCGAAGGCGGCCACCUGGACGAGCACUGACGCUGAGAAGCGAAAGCGUGGGGAGCAAACAGG